CAAUCCUCUUUGUCCUGGGCUUCCUCGUGCUGGUGCUGACCACCCUGGCCAUCGUGUUCCAGCCUGCUGGCCCCAAAAUUAGCCCCCUAAAGAGCUGGAAGCCACGAUGGAGGAGCCUGGGGGAGCCCCACGUCCCACCAGAGUACAUCCUCCUUAAGGACAGCCUCAAGUUCUAUCAGAUGCUUGGUCCUCGUGGGUCUGGAGCAGAUGCUGGCUCUGGAGAGAGAGGAGCAGUGCCUGGUGCAGAGCACAGCCUCAGCCCCAGGCUCCUGGAGGAUUUCAGUGUCCACACCCUCUAUGACAAGCUGGAGGAUCAGAAUUUGCACCUGGCCUCUCAGCUGGCAAAGCACAGGAUGGACGUGCUGGUGUUCCACAACGGGAUCAGCCACAGGAUCCAGAGCCUGGUGGACACGGUGCAAGCUCUGGACUGGGAAGGCCUGAAAACCUUUUCCAGGCGAGGGAUUUGUGGGCAGAAAGCUGCAGAGCAGAGCUGGGCAGCAGUGGGUGCAGAUCACUGGAACAACAACUUCCAGGCAGGUGCCCCGUGGCAAGAGGUGACAGAGUUAAUGAGAGCUCUGGAAGUGCUGCUUGGGAACGUUCCUGACGGGAGCAGGGCUGCAAACCCAGAGAUGGAGCUCAGGAUCCAAGCACAGGCUGCACUGGGAGCUGUGCCCUCCCUGCACAGCCUGGCCAGUGAAAAUAAAUCCGAAGGGCAGGUGAGCUGCAGGUGUCUGUUUGGGGCCAUCUCUCACCUUUCUGAGAGUUUUUCCAUUUCUUUAACUUCUGAGCCCUUUUUAUCCUGCAGGAUCCUGAGCUGUUGA
RNAcentral lists this long non-coding RNA (821 nucleotides) under Parus major (Great Tit). Its description in RNAcentral is "lncRNA (ENSPMJG00000008672.1)". Lineage: Eukaryota; Metazoa; Chordata; Aves; Passeriformes; Paridae. The record is from RNAcentral.